GACGAACGCUGGCGGCGUGCUUAACACAUGCAAGUCGAACGGAAAGGCCCUGCUUUUGUGGGGUGCUCGAGUGGCGAACGGGUGAGUAACACGUGAGUAACCUGCCCUUGACUUUGGGAUAACUUCAGGAAACUGGGGCUAAUACCGGAUAGGAGCUCCUGCUGCAUGGUGGGGGUUGGAAAGUUUCGGCGGUUGGGGAUGGACUCGCGGCUUAUCAGCUUGUUGGUGGGGUAGUGGCUUACCAAGGCUUUGACGGGUAGCCGGCCUGAGAGGGUGACCGGCCACAUUGGGACUGAGAUACGGCCCAGACUCUUACGGGAGGCAGAGGGGGGGAAUAUGGAACAGGGGGCGGAAGCCUGAGGCAGCAAGGCGGGGUGGGGGAGGCCGGCCUUCGGGUGGGAAACCGCUUUCGCUUGUAACGAAGCGUGAGUGACGGUAAUGGGUAAAGAAGCACCGGCUAACUACGG
This 467-nucleotide ribosomal RNA is filed under the name uncultured bacterium. Its description in RNAcentral is "partial 16S ribosomal RNA". It matches the Rfam family "Bacterial small subunit ribosomal RNA", at positions 28 to 506 of the family's 1533-position model. The record is from RNAcentral.